Long non-coding RNA from Pygoscelis adeliae (Adelie penguin), 1024 nucleotides. RefSeq lists it as uncharacterized. The transcript has 2 exons. NCBI's taxonomy places the organism in Eukaryota, Metazoa, Chordata, Aves, Sphenisciformes, Spheniscidae. The record is from RefSeq and is a predicted model, not a curated record.
UGGACGACGCUCAGUGUUCACCGAACACCUUAGUCCUACUACAUCCACCUUCUAGCAUUGUUUUUUCCCCUGGUCGGUCGUGCGAAGAGAUUCAUCUCACUUGCUUGGAAUUGGACAGACACAGAGUCUGGGAUGAAUACUUGAGGACAAUGCCAUGCUCCACCUCACAGAACAGAGGUCCUCCACAUCAGUUAAGGACUAACGCAAAAGUGCGAAAAGGAGCCCUGCUCCUCCUCCAGCACCAGAAAAGCGGGUCAAUAGAGAAAGGUGUAAACCAGGUCCAAAUGGGGACCCUUGGAUUCUGUGUAUGAAGGGUAGCACCACUGACAUACGUCAAAGUUGGGGGAGUUAAAAAAAAAAGUGGUGUGUACGUAUGGGUUACUUUCAUUCUUUCAGUCUCUAUUAUUUCUGUUAUUAACUUUCAUGAAAUUUUACCAUUAAUAAUCCUAUAUGUGUUACUUUCCUCCUAGUUAUCACUGCAGUCAAUUGCAAAUAUUAUUUUACUCUUUUAAUGUUAUUUUAUUAUUUUAACUGGAAUACAGCCUUGAAAGUGCAAGCACUAUUCAUAAAUGCAAUGUUGAGAUUAUUAAAGCUAGAGAUACGUGAGCAUAGUAAAAGAUGAGAAAAAUGUAUUUGGGUUAAUUUGUGGGCUUCUGUUCUGCAAGCAUAAACUUUGGAAGUCUCUUAAAAACCUCUUGUGUAUUCUCAGAAACAUCCUUAACUCAUUAUAAGCUGAACUGUCACUUUUAUUAUUGUAUGUAUUAAACAUUGCUUAAAAUUAAAAACAUUAAUCAGAAAACUGCUGUCCUAACCAAAGAAAAUAUUGCCCAGUCUAAAAUUCAAAUAUUAAAUUAUUUAAUUUACAAUCUGUGGGGUUCACAAGAUCUGGAUACAGUGUGCAGUGCCUUUAUGUCACUGUAUGCAUGUGUGUAUCACAAGCUUUAUACUGGAAAUUGCAGAAUACUAAAAUAGAAAUGAUGCCAAAUCUAUGAUGUGUACUAGUAAAAAGUAUCUUCAGCACCUU